RNAcentral lists this ribosomal RNA (508 nucleotides) under uncultured bacterium. RNAcentral describes it as "partial 16S ribosomal RNA". It matches the Rfam family "Bacterial small subunit ribosomal RNA", at positions 28 to 507 of the family's 1533-position model. The record is from RNAcentral.
GACGAACGCUGGCGGCGUGCCUAAUACAUGCAAGUCGAACGCUUCUUUCCUCCCGAGUGCUUGCACUCAAUUGGAAAGAGGAGUGGCGGACGGGUGAGUAACACGUGGGUAACCUACCCAUCAGAGGGGGAUAACACUUGGAAACAGGUGCUAAUACCGCAUAACAGUUUAUGCCGCAUGGCAUAAGAGUGAAAGGCGCUUUCGGGUGUCGCUGAUGGAUGGACCCGCGGUGCAUUAGCUAGUUGGUGAGGUAACGGCUCACCAAGGCCACGAUGCAUAGCCGACCUGAGAGGGUGAUCGGCCACACUGGGACUGAGACACGGCCCAGACUCCUACGGGAGGCAGCAGUAGGGAAUCUUCGGCAAUGGACGAAAGUCUGACCGAGCAACGCCGCGUGAGUGAAGAAGGUUUUCGGAUCGUAAAACUCUGUUGUUAGAGAAGAACAAGGACGUUAGUAACUGAACGUCCCCUGACGGUAUCUAACCAGAAAGCCACGACUAACUACGUG